CUUUAACUGAGAAUCUUGAAUUAGCCAGGCAUCUAUGAAGACAGUGAUGUUGUGAAGACAGAGGUCACCUGGAGGAAGGUUGGCAGAACUGUUCGUUGUGGGUUUGUUGGCAGUAGAACUGAGAAGAGGAAGAAGGAGCUGGGUUCCUUUGUCUGAUUCUGGUCCCAGGAAAGGCAGGCUCAGAGCCAGCACAGAAAAGGCUUUUUCCCUGCUAGUGCCAGUUUAACAAUUGUCACUGAUGAAUGAGAUCUGAAAGCAAAUCUACUUCAACUCAGACAGAAAGCUCUAACAGAGAAGCUUUUAAAUAUAUCAAUAUGCCAAAUAAAAAGAAAGAUG
Molecule: non-coding RNA, 336 nt
Organism: Pogona vitticeps (central bearded dragon)
Lineage: Eukaryota; Metazoa; Chordata; Lepidosauria; Squamata; Agamidae
Source: RefSeq, a predicted model, not a curated record